AUCAAACAGCCUGGACUCCAUUAUUUUCCAACUUUUCAUUUCAUAAGCGCCAGGCUUUUCAGGUGAUAGUAGUUUCCAAGAAAUCUUCUGCUUUAGCUAUCUUUUGCCAUUUCAUUUCAUCUUCAUCAACUCUCUUCAAUCAAGAUUUCAUGGCCAUCUCCCUCCAAGAUUCAGUUCUUCUCUCGUCUCCCCCACCAGCCCAUGCUUAUGCCUAACUUGGUUGCCUCUAAACAUGCUAAUGCUUCUACUACAAACGGAGAGGAAACGUUGGAGUGAAGAGUAGACUUUGAGACUCUGAUUUCCCCAUUCUGACCCCGGGCUACUAUUCCUGACGCUGAUAUGGAGUUAUUGAUAUCAAAGACUGCAUCAAACUAUAUAGACUCCCGUAGCUCUACCUCUUUUUGUCCGAAUCUAACGGGCGUAGAGAUAACCCAUAAGGCACAACAAAAUACUCGGAUCUGCUCCU
Long non-coding RNA from Gossypium raimondii (Peruvian cotton), 466 nucleotides. RefSeq lists it as uncharacterized. Lineage: Eukaryota; Viridiplantae; Streptophyta; Magnoliopsida; Malvales; Malvaceae. The record is from RefSeq and is a predicted model, not a curated record. The transcript is spliced from 3 exons.